RNAcentral lists this ribosomal RNA (1596 nucleotides) under Triticum aestivum (bread wheat). Its description in RNAcentral is "partial small subunit ribosomal RNA". Lineage: Eukaryota; Viridiplantae; Streptophyta; Magnoliopsida; Poales; Poaceae. The record is from RNAcentral.
AUGGCGGCUGCCGACGACGAUGGCCAGAUCGACGACGACGAGUUCUACGAGUACAACCCGCACCCCUACGGCGGCGGCUACGACAUCUCCGCCACCUACGGCGCCCCGCUCCCGCCCUCCACCUCCACCUGCUACCCCAUCUCCUCCCCCGCCGGUGCCCCCGCGCGCUCAUCUCCACGUCCACCUGCGCCCGCGCCUGUUCCUGCUCCCGCCACGCCGCAGCCGGCACCAGCUUCGCCCGCGAAGCCCCGGCCGGUCCCAUCGCCAGAGCCGGCGAGGACACCGCCCUUUUCGCCGGUUCCGGUGCCAGUGCCGGUGCCUGUGCCGGUGCCGGUCGCGGAGCCGUUCUACUGGCCCAAGCCGCACGACUACGGGGACGCGCCCCGGUGGCCGCUGGUGUACCCCACGCCGGAGGUGUUCCGGCGCUGGCCGUACCUGGCGGCGGGGUCGCAUUGCUGCCACUCGCGGGGCGGGCCGCGCGACUACUGGAGGCAGUGCAUGCGCGGGCUGGACUUCCUCUUCGGCCACGCCGACGGGUACGGGGAGCGGCGGAUCGGGACCGACUGCCACGGGGUCCCCGUGUACGCCAACAAGAAGGGGGGAGUGGAGGACGCCGUGGUCGUCGAGGUGCCGCCGCCGGCAAUUGGGAAUGUGCAGUGGCACGACGCCGGUGAGGUGCCGGCAAUUGGGAAUGGGCAGUGGCACGACCACGCCGAGGUGCCGUCAACUGGGAAUGUGCAGUGGCACGACCACGGCGAGGUGCGUGGGAAUGUGCAGUGGCACGACCACGGCGAGGUGCAUGGGAAUGUGCAGUGGCACGACGCUGGCCAGGCGCACGAUCAGAGCAAUUGGCUAUCUUCAUACCACAAUGCAAAAGAGGAUACGUAUGCAUAUGCCCAUUCUACCUAUGGCUCAUAUGACACAUCCUACGAACAGUCUUACAGUGUUGAUGUUGUUCCGGAUGAACCUACCUGGUUUCCCAAUCAGAGCUACCAGGAUGUUUACAGAGAGGAGGAACCUCAGUGUCAGGAGGUUUUGCCCAGUUAUGGCAUAGAAAGUACAUUUUCAUCUCAACCUAUUUAUUGCUACAAUCAGCACACUGGUGAACAACCACUGCAUGUUCAGGUUGAGCCUCCGGAAACAUUUUAUUCUCACAAGCUGGAGUACCACGAGAAUUUCUCAACAUAUACCAACCAUAUUGAUAAUUCGGAGAUAUCGACACAGUCAUGUGAGAUACAGCCCUAUGCAUAUGUACCUGACAGCCCAGUUGAAGCUUAUCAACCUUCUUGGUCGAUGAAUUUGGGAUACUAUCAGGACUCUGCAGAAGAGGUGACUCCUCAGUAUGAUAAUCAUGCUUUCGAAUCUGGUGAAUAUGGAGGCAUGGCAAGCAUAUUCUCGUCUUCCUCCUAUCCUCAGCAAGUAGAAGUUUAUGAGCAGUCUUAUGGUGAUGAGUAUGUCUCCUUACAACAAAAUUUCCUGAGCAACUGGAAUGCUUUUUCUGAAGAUACCUCUGAAAUCACUAAAUCAGUUGAUGAUUGCAACCAUCUGAAUGGCUCCUUCUGGCCCUUUGGAGAAUACUCAACAUAUACUGUAUAG